This 481-nucleotide ribosomal RNA is filed under the name uncultured bacterium. Its description in RNAcentral is "partial 16S ribosomal RNA". It matches the Rfam family "Bacterial small subunit ribosomal RNA", at positions 30 to 506 of the family's 1533-position model. The record is from RNAcentral.
AUUGAACGCUGGCGGCAUGCUUUACACAUGCGAGUCGAACGGUAACAGGCCGCAAGGUGCUGACGAGUGGCGAACGGGUGAGUAAUGCAUCGGAACGUGCCCAGUCGUGGGGGAUAACUACUCGAAAGAGUAGCUAAUACCGCAUACGAUCUAUGGAUGAAAGCGGGGGACCGUAAGGCCUCGCGCGAUUGGAGCGGCCGAUGUCAGAUUAGGUAGUUGGUGGGGUAAAGGCUCACCAAGCCAACGAUCUGUAGCUGGUCUGAGAGGACGACCAGCCACACUGGGACUGAGACACGGCCCAGACUCCUACGGGAGGCAGCAGUGGGGAAUUUUGGACAAUGGGCGCAAGCCUGAUCCAGCAAUGCCGCGUGCAGGAAGAAGGCCUUCGGGUUGUAAACUGCUUUUGUACGGAACGAAACGGCUCUGGUUAAUACCCGGGGCUAAUGACGGUACCGUAAGAAUAAGCACCGGCUAACUACGU